This is a long non-coding RNA of Bradysia coprophila, 175 nucleotides long. Lineage: Eukaryota; Metazoa; Arthropoda; Insecta; Diptera; Sciaridae. The record is from RefSeq and is a predicted model, not a curated record.
GAAAAAUGUAUAUGAAAAUCCAUUUUCGGUCGGAGAGAGCGUCCGAGAAAGUACUUUCUUGGCCGCAAAUACCUCUCUCUGAGAAAUACAGAAAAAUUGAACUUUUCGAUCGUAGAAUGCGUGUCGAAAUCCGUCGAAUUUCAGUCUUGAAGCACAAAAUAUACUCUUAUGUAAC